Molecule: long non-coding RNA, 794 nt
Organism: Sitophilus oryzae (rice weevil)
Lineage: Eukaryota; Metazoa; Arthropoda; Insecta; Coleoptera; Curculionidae
Exons: 2
Source: RefSeq, a predicted model, not a curated record
UAGUAAGUGACUAUAUAAUAUACAUACGUGUAGUAAACCGAUCAUUUAUGAAAUUCACUUAAAUUGACUAAUUACAUAUAUUUUCUUGCAUAUUUGCUUUUAUUUACUACUUGUCAGAAGUUUUUUGCGCUUCCUCGAUGCUGUGAGUAUCUUUGAUUGGGCAGUUCCAAAUCCUGUUUGAAAUUGACGUUUAGGACGUUGAAAUAAAACCAGAGAUAUAGAGGGGAAAGUCGCUUCCAUAUCUCUUCCAUACUUCAAUACUGGAACAUAAAUCUUCUCAUUGGUUAUAUGGGAAGGAUGCAGUGUAUUCUUUUAUAUGUAUAUGUCCUCUAUGGUUAAAACUCAUUUUAUUCACAAUUAAAACUAUUAAAUAUUCUGUCAAAUAGUGACAGAUGUGGAGCAAGUCAAGACAAUCAUUUGACUAUAUUUUAGUAGUUAGAUGUCAUAGUCUGUCGAAAUAUAAAGAAUUAUUGUCGAUUAUAGUAAUAAGUCCGCUAUUAUACAACACAAACUCUACUCUUCUAUUCGCCUGUUAACACUGUGUUGGUAAUAAUUGUGAUUCGACAACGAAAUCAAGCUAAAAAUACGUCAAAAAUGAUCGUAUGGGGCAGCCUUUAGUUACUUUUUUAAUGCUCUAAGAUAUAAUGAAAACGACGUGAUAAGAGGCGUAGAAAUAUCUGUAUAGUUUGGACUUUCGCUGGUGUUCUUGACAGUUUUUUUACAUAAUUUCUAGGCCUAAUGUGACGGCUUUUUUUAAGUAUACUGUUACUGUCGGGUAUUUUUAUUUAAGAAAA